Molecule: ribosomal RNA, 584 nt
Filed under: uncultured bacterium
Lineage: Bacteria
Description: bacterial SSU rRNA
Rfam family: Bacterial small subunit ribosomal RNA
Source: RNAcentral
GACGAACGCUGGCGGCGUGCUUAAUACAUGCAAGUCGAACGGAGCCUAGCUGGUGGUUUACUACCGGCGAAAGCUUAGUGGCGGACGGGUGAGUAACGCGUGGGUAAUCUGCCCCUAAGUCCGGGAUAACAGAGCGAAAGUUCUGCUAAUACCGGAUACUCUUCCCGGGUCGCAUGGUCUGGGAAGGAAAGGUUUACUGCUUAGGGAUGAGCCCGCGUCCCAUUAGCUAGUUGGUGAGGUAAGGGCUCACCAAGGCCACGAUGGGUAGCCGGCUUGAGAGAGUGACCGGCCACACUGGAACUGAGACACGGUCCAGACUCCUACGGGAGGCAGCAGUGGGGAAUAUUGCACAAUGGGCGAAAGCCUGAUGCAGCGACGCCGCGUGAGCGAAGAAGGCCUUCGGGUCGUAAAGCUCUGUCCUAUGGGAAGAUAAUGACGGUACCAUAGGAGGAAGCCCCGGCUAACUACGUGCCAGCAGCCGCGGUAAUACGUAGGGGGCGAGCGUUGUCCGGAAUGACUGGGCGUAAAGGGUGCGUAGGCGGCCAGGUAAGUCAGAUGUGAAAGGCAUAGGCUCAACCUAUGUA